UAAGAUCCAAUUGUUAAACUAUUUGAACUAUAAAUGAAAAUUAUAUAUAAUAACAACAAUUGUAGUAACGAAAUGUAACCAAAAAAAUAUUUUGAACGUAAAAUAUUCAUACAAGAUAUAUGACUUUUAGCUUCAUUUAGUAAUAUUACUAUUUAUAUUAUCAAGUGUUAAUUCAAAUUAGUAAGAUGUUAGCCAUAUGUUUGCAAUGCAUUACCGUAGAUCUCGAUGUAAAAAACUUUAUUUGCUAAUACAAAGAUUUGAGUAGUUUAAUUUGAAGAUCUAGAAUAUUUCUUAUGUUAAAAAGUAAAUAUUCUUUGUUUUUUUAAAACUUUUUUUACACGGAUUUUAUACUUUUUUCUACAAAGUUCAGAAUUGUCUAAGUCAAAAUAUUAUUACGUAUUUUACAACACUUUUUGGGGCCUCAAAAUUUUUGGGGCCUAAAGCGAAGGCUUUACUAGCCUCACCCUUAAGAUAAGUUGUAUAUUUCUAAGCAAAUAAUCUGUUUGAAGAUUGCAAAGAUGUAGUAAAUGGUAUGAUCUUAAACACAAAAUAGGAAAAAAAUUGAGGAAGUAAAGAAGCAAUUCUUGAAUAAACAAAAGAAAGCAUGGUUCAAUUAUAAAACAUGUAACAUAUGACGAAUAAUUCAAGAGCAAUAGCACACAAAUAUUCAGAAAGCACUGAAAUAUAAAUCUUACUUAUGUAUACAUUAUCCGAAUUCUAGCCAAAUAUGAAACUAUAGCGGCUCUAAUUUCAACAACACAGAACUUCAUUAUCCGAAUUCUAGCCAUAGCAAAGUUUCUUAAUUUUGGACGAGCUUCAUAAACACCAAUUACGGUUUAUAUUUCAACUAGAGAAAUUGAAUUUCAGUCACUAAUAUGCAAUUCUUGAAGAAAACAAAAGAACGUUCAAAAGGGACUAUGUGAAUCUGCAAAAGAGAAAAAAACAUUGCUACCAAUUUAGAACACGUCCCAAUUAAGAUUUACGAUUUAGAGAAUCGGGAUGUCAACAAAAUCAAGAAAAAUUACAGAAAAUUCAGAGAUUCAAUCAAAAUAGAAUAUCCAAAAGUGAGAACAAGACACAAAAAAGAGGCAAGCAAAACCUUCUAGUUUAGCCCCUUCUCAAUCGUAUUUUAAAAGGGUUUUUUUUGAACCCUAAACUCGAAACUGAAAUUUACCAUUAGAAAAGUGGAAACAAGAUGGAGAAUUCCAAGUAUAAUUUUCAAAAUCUUACCCAGAAAAAAACGGCGGUUGCGAGAGAGACGUGUGAAGGAUGAAAUUUGUUUUGGGUUUAGAAGAAAUAGCCUGAUGUCAAGAGAGAGAAAAAAGAGGCGUGUAUUUUCGGUAUUUUUAACUCUGAACGGAAUUAAGACUCAAUUAAAU
This 1379-nucleotide long non-coding RNA is filed under the name Nicotiana tabacum (common tobacco). RNAcentral's name for it is "long non-coding RNA (NTAB_LNC015591)". The record is from RNAcentral. Lineage: Eukaryota; Viridiplantae; Streptophyta; Magnoliopsida; Solanales; Solanaceae.